AAGCUCUAAAUGGGAGGUAAAUUUCUUCUAAAGCUAAAUAUKGSCCAGAGACCGAUAGCGCACAAGUAGAGUGAUCGAAAGAUGAAAAGCACUUUGAAAAGAGGGUUAAAUAGCACGUGAAAUUGUUGAAAGGGAAGCGUUUGCGACCAGACCUUUUCCUGGCGGAUCAUCCGGUGUUCUCACCGGUGCACUUCGCCAGGUUUAGGCCAGCAUCGGUUUCCGCAGAGGGAUAAAAGCUCUGGGAACGUAGCUCCUUCGGGAGUGUUAUAGCCCUCUGCAUAAUACCUUUGUGGGGACCGAGGACCGCGCUUCGGCAAGGAUGCUGGCGUAAUGGUCGUCAACGACCCGUCUUGAAACACGGACCAAGGAGUCGAACAUUUGUGCGAGUGUUUGGGUGUUAAACCCUCACGCGUAAUGAAAGUGAACGGAGGUGAGAGCCUUUACGGGUGCAUCAUCGACCGAUCCUGAUGUCUUCGGAUGGAUUUGAGUAAGAGCAUAACUGUUCGGACCCGAAAGAUGGUGAACUAUGCGUGGAUAGGGUGAAGCCAGAGGAAACUCUGGUGGAGGCUCGCAGCGGUUCUGACGUGCAAAUCGAUCGUCAAAUCUGCGCAUGGGGGCGAAAGACUUAUCGAACCAUCUAGUAGCUGGUUACCGCCGAAGUUUCCCUCAGGAUAGCAGUGUUGUUCUUCAGUUUUAUGAGGUAAAGCGAAUGAUUAGGGACUCGGGGGCGCUUUUUAGCCUUCAUCCAUUCUCAAACUUUAAAUAUGUAAGAAGCCCUUGUUACUUAGUUGAACGUGGGCAUUCGAAUGUACCAACACUAGUGGGCCAUUUUUGGUAAGCAGAACUGGCGAUGCGGGAUGAWCCGAACGCGGGGU
This 875-nucleotide ribosomal RNA is filed under the name Xylaria feejeensis. RNAcentral's name for it is "eukaryotic LSU rRNA". It matches the Rfam family "Eukaryotic large subunit ribosomal RNA", at positions 283 to 1180 of the family's 3401-position model. The record is from RNAcentral. Lineage: Eukaryota; Fungi; Ascomycota; Sordariomycetes; Xylariales; Xylariaceae.